Molecule: transfer RNA, 65 nt
Filed under: Procolobus verus (olive colobus)
Lineage: Eukaryota; Metazoa; Chordata; Mammalia; Primates; Cercopithecidae
Description: tRNA-Tyr
Rfam family: tRNA
About the family: Transfer RNA (tRNA) molecules are approximately 80 nucleotides in length. Their secondary structure includes four short double-helical elements and three loops (D, anti-codon, and T loops).
Source: RNAcentral
GAUAAAAUGGCUGAGUAAGCAUUAGGCUGUAAACCUAAGGACAGAGGUAGAGCCCUCUUUUUAUC